This 256-nucleotide ribosomal RNA is filed under the name uncultured Rhizophagus. RNAcentral describes it as "partial large subunit ribosomal RNA". It matches the Rfam family "Eukaryotic large subunit ribosomal RNA", at positions 359 to 630 of the family's 3401-position model. The record is from RNAcentral. Lineage: Eukaryota; Fungi; Glomeromycota; Glomeromycetes; Glomerales; Glomeraceae.
GAAAGAUGAAAAGAACUUUGAAAAGAGAGUUAAACAGUACGUGAAAUUGUUGAAAGGGAAACGAUUGAAGCCAGUCGUACCUUCGGGUAAUCAGCCUUUCGGGUGCGAUUCUGUGGAGUGUGAGGAGCUUAACACCUUCAUGCUUUGCAUAUUCGUGCUCUUGGGUGUACUUGCCCGUGUGGUUGGUUAACAUCAAUUUUGGUGGUCAUAAAAUGACUGGAGGAAUGUAGCUUCGAUCUUGUAUUGAAGUGUUAUA